GUCCUCGUGGACCAUGGCAGAUCACCCCAUACGCAUGAAAUGUUGCAGUGAUCAAAUGCUGGGGAGACGGCGGUUCGAAUCCGCCCCGGGACG
Molecule: non-coding RNA, 93 nt
Organism: Mycena leptocephala
Lineage: Eukaryota; Fungi; Basidiomycota; Agaricomycetes; Agaricales; Mycenaceae
Source: the annotation of a GenBank genome assembly